GGCUUGUGUCGUGUUGACGCCGUGACCUUAACGCACUUAACGACCCUUCUGUGGCACUUUGCGGCUUGUCGACAUCUGCCUUGCUUGUUUGUCCGAGCCGCGGCUAGGCCGGCAGCGUGCUGCCGUCAGAAAUUCAGUCGCUCGUUCAGUCCGGUAGUCUGUCCGUCCGUACGCGGGUUCUACGUCACGACGCGUUACUGCGCACCCUCCUCGGUCGCCAUUUUGACGCCCCGUUGCCUCGUUGUCUUUUGUCUACGGUCGGACGUCGCACAUUUUACAGGAACCGUGGAGAAUGUCGUUCGAAACCCGGAGAAGUCUGUUGACCCCGCAGCAAAUUGUGUUGGUGCAGCCGCUCCGGUAGACACGUCGGAAGACAACUUGGACAUGUUUUGAUCUGGAGUAGCUCAAACCUCGACGUGCAGUAACAUGAUUCAGUUGAGGACCAAAUAUCAGAUCACGAAGGUACGACGGAUGGCUGGAUUGCAGCGGUUCGUCGGAAAAGCAUUUCUUAUGAUCAUAUUUCUGCUGGAAUGAGAGUGUGUUCCUGUCAUCUCUACUCUUGAAAACCUGCAUAUGAAAUGCUGACAACACAUCCCGAUUGGUCACCAUAUCUCUUCUUUGGUUAUUCUGAGGUCAAGCGCACCACAUCGGAGCGUUAUGAGAGGUUGGAAAGGCGAAGAGUGCACGCUGAAACUUCAGUUUGCUCUGCUCUUACAAACACGAUCCCAAGUGUUGUUGUGAAAAGUCAAUAAAAUAUGAAUACCAAAACAUGACUUGAACAACUUCUUGACAAACUGUAACUGCUUGUUGUUUACUUCAGGUCUUCAUAAUAAACAGGUGUAAUAAUUACAAAGUCAGGUGACUUAAUUUUGUUAUUCUAUUUGGAAUAUGCAUUGACAAUGUGUGGACAGUGUUGUAGACAAGAACUGGGACUGAUAAGUUGCAAUAGAUUUAUUUCAAGUAAUGCAACUUCUCCAAUACAGUAUUUGAGCUGACAGUUUAAAAUCUUUAAAUUAGUGCAAACAAGGCCCACCCUCUGACGGGGUCAGCAAAUAUUAUAUAAUUAUAAGUAAUAUAUACAGGUUUAACAUAAAUGUGUCUUUGUCAAAGCAGUUUAAAAACUAUUUACUGGCCUUGAGUAAAUUGCCAGACAGAAUAAAUAUGUGGUUUAAAGUUCUUGCAUUUCCAUUUUAAGUAUUGCAAGUACUAGUCUCCAACGCAGUAUUUGAACUGACAGUUUAAAAUCCUUUUAGUACAAAAUGGCCCACACUCUGGCAGGGGGCAGCAAAUAUUAUAAUACAUAAUACAUUAUAAUAAGCUAUAUACUAUAUAAAUACAAGAUCACAACAAAACCUGUAUUUUUCAAAGCAGUUAAAAAACAUCCAGUGGCCUUAGGUAAAUAAACGUGUAUAAAUAUGUACUUUACAGUUCUUGCAUUUCUAUUUUAGGUAUUGCAACUUUUCCAACACUAUUUGAAUUGACAGUCUAAAGUCUACAUUAGUGCAAAUAAGAAUAUUAUAAAUUAAAAAUAAUAAUAGAAUAUAUAAAUUCAACAUUACAAUGAAACGUGUCUUUGUCAAAGUGAUUUAAAAAAACGUCACUGGCCAUAGUUAAAUAGCCAGGCAGAAUAAAUAUGUGCAUUACAGUUCUUGCAUUUUCACAAGUUAAAAGCCCGCAGUUCAUCGACGAGAAGGGCAGACCCAGAUGGCGUCUGCAGCAGGGGCUUGUUUGAGUCCGACACAGGACAAAUGGAACCACUCCAUUGAACAAGUUUUCUUUGUCAAAUGAUCCAAGAAGAGAGAUGGUGACCAAUCGGGAUGUGUUGUCAGCAGGUUUACCUAGGAACACAACAGGUAGGUGAGUCGUAGUAGGCGAGCAUUGCUACCA
Long non-coding RNA from Corythoichthys intestinalis (scribbled pipefish), 1887 nucleotides. RefSeq lists it as uncharacterized. The record is from RefSeq and is a predicted model, not a curated record. Lineage: Eukaryota; Metazoa; Chordata; Actinopteri; Syngnathiformes; Syngnathidae. The transcript is spliced from 3 exons.